RNAcentral lists this ribosomal RNA (450 nucleotides) under uncultured organism. RNAcentral's name for it is "partial 16S ribosomal RNA". It matches the Rfam family "Bacterial small subunit ribosomal RNA", at positions 331 to 797 of the family's 1533-position model. The record is from RNAcentral.
GUACACUCCUGCGGGAGGCAGCAGUGGGGAAUAUUGGACAAUGGGCGCAAGCCUGAUCCAGCCAUGCCGCGUGAGUGAUGAAGGCCCUAGGGUUGUAAAGCUCUUUCACCGGUGAAGAUAAUGACGGUAACCGGAGAAGAAGCCCCGGCUAACUUCGUGCCAGCAGCCGCGGUAAUACGAAGGGGGCUAGCGUUGUUCGGAUUUACUGGGCGUAAAGCGCACGUAGGCGGACUAUUAAGUCAGGGGUGAAAUCCCGGGGCUCAACCCCGGAACUGCCUUUGAUACUGGUAGUCUUGAGUUCGAGAGAGGUGAGUGGAAUUCCGAGUGUAGAGGUGAAAUUCGUAGAUAUUCGGAGGAACACCAGUGGCGAAGGCGGCUCACUGGCUCGAUACUGACGCUGAGGUGCGAAAGCGUGGGGGGCAAACAGGAUUAGAAACCCUAGUAGUCCCA